Papaver somniferum (opium poppy) is the source of this 3525-nucleotide long non-coding RNA. RefSeq lists it as uncharacterized. The transcript has 3 exons. NCBI's taxonomy places the organism in Eukaryota, Viridiplantae, Streptophyta, Magnoliopsida, Ranunculales, Papaveraceae. The record is from RefSeq and is a predicted model, not a curated record.
AUGGGUAAAGUAAAUGAAUUUUUGGUUUCUAGUUCUUUUGUCUUUUUCUUGUUUGUUUUGUUUUGUGGUAAAAGUGGAGUAGAAUUGUUUGUACCAGUAUUGGUCCUGAAGCACUAUUUCUGGUAUCCGGCUCUGAAGCAGUAUUUCUGGAAAAAAGAUACAUAACCGGCUACGACGUAGUGUUUUUGGUAUUCGUCCCUGACACAAUAUUUCUGAUAUCCGGCUCUGUGGUGCAAAAUUGGGGUAUCAACAGUUGCCCCUCAAGAGCCCGAUUUCGCACCAAUAAUCUUGUUUGUAUUUCAAAAUGAUUUGAAAAAUUGAUAAAGAGGUUCCGGCGUUGGCCAGAUUUCGUCUUGGUUGAGCUUUGUCGGUCCCGUUUAAACCAGGAGGUUUUGAAUCAUGUGUUGUUGAUCUUCGUGUAUCCCUUUUUGAGCUGUAUCUUCUCGCUUUCAAUGCUGUUUUUUUUUUUUUUUUGCAAAUUCUAUAGAGGUGUGUUUAUGAGUUUAUCUUCCAAUCUUGUUGUAGAAGCUAAAGAUUCCUUUAUAAAAUAGAGAAAGGAAAUUAUACCUCAUGAAACAACCCAUUUUUUCUUUUUAUCAUUAUUUCUUCAGCAUGUCAUACCAACGUCCGAGAACCGUUCUAUCGAGAAUUCCACCUCUUCCAACUGUGGGUGAAAUGAGAAACGUGGGGCCUUUAACUGAUGUUGAGCAUCACAUUUCGGCAAAGAUCCGCGACGACACGGUGAGUUUUACCAUUUUCGGCUCCAUGGUAUCUUGUUCUCUCUAUCCUCAGUGUCUACCCUUCAAUCAAUUCUUAUUAACCUUCAGUUUAUUUUUUUAUUGGACUGCCAUUGGGUGUACCCCCGUGGUUCAAAUACUGGAGUGGCUGAAUAGUGGACAAUACUGAGAAGAUGAAGAGGUGUCCGUGAGAUUGUACGAGGGACCGGCUGGUUUGACUUUAUCCAUGCUUUGAAACCAUUCCAUGACCGGGAGAAUGUAGUUACUGUGACCGAACGAUGGUGGAAUGAUACCAACUCCUUUCAUCUCCCACACUGCGAGCUUACCAUCACUCCUUUGGAUGUUUAUAUGAUUACCGGACUAAGCGUGGGAAUAGGAGUCCCGGUGCCUUGGGAACUAGGGAUGACAGAGGAGAGGAUACGAUUGAUAUUAGGGCCGUGGUGCGGGGAUGUAUUCCCUCAUAAGGGAGCGAUCAACUUAUCUGCGUUGAAAACCUGUUUUUCUAGCGUUGUACUACAACUCGCUGAUGAUGCUCCAAAAGAUGACGCCAAAGUUGUUGAUGUUACAAGAGCCUUCCUUGUUUAUACCAUGGUCCAUGGGUAAUACUUUUCUUUCUUCGGCUAGUGGUCAACUCAAAUCGGGUUACCUGGAUGCCUUUGUUGAUCUGGAUUUGGUGGGAUUUUAUGGUUGGGGAAGUUGUGCGAUGGCAUACCUCUACAAAUAUCUUUCUCGAGUAACUCGAUCCCGAACAAAAUCUUUGUGCAGGUUUUGGCCUGUCCUGCAGUUCCGGUGCUAUGAAUAUAUCCCUGCCAGCAGCCCAGUCUUCAAUGAUGGUUAUUUCGAUAUCCAAACAUUUCCUCGAAUGGCCAUAUGGAAUAAUACACAACGACAAAAUUCAUCAGCAUAUAUGCGCCUUUGUUUGGAUGAGACUACGAUUGAUUCCGUAAUAUACUGAUUUCUUUUUUUUUUUAAUUAUAUUCCUUUGUUUCAGAUUUGCUGGGACCCUUGGAGUAACUACCCGAUCGGUCAGGAUCAAAAAGCAAGUUAUGCCGCUGUGUGUAACCCACUACGUUACCUGUUAAGAGGUCCGAAUUACUGUGCUUGGUAUCUUGGUGAUAGAUUUGGGCGACAAAUCGGUCAGCCGGACGCUACACCCCGCUUUCAUCCCCUAAGAAGACAUGCUUCAGUAAUGCGUCAUUUUACGAGAUGGAUGGUAUGUCACGUGAACCGCAACUCUCGUAUGAAGACUCAGUUGAUCGCGGGUUAGAUUUUGACACGUAUUGGAGAACUGUUUCUCUUGGUCCACUUCAUCGCACUCGGUCCAGUACCAAAAAUCGCGUGCUGGGAGGUCCUGAUUUUGCUUGUCGACUAUUAUUGAUGGGGUCUUCUAGUACUUCUACUCAGCAUGCUUCACCACUUGAUUCUGGUCACUUGAUUCCUCCAUGGGAUUUCAAAGUAUCUAUCUUUGGCACUUCAAAUGUGAUUUCUUUUCAAGGUGGCCCAUUUGACAUUCAAGACGUCGUUGGCCUACCCCUUCCGGAUGAUAUCCCUAAGGCUUACAAGGAUUUUAUCGAGUAUUUGCUUCGUUUAGUGGAUAGCCGCGAACGUCGAUUGAAGUCUGUAGUGAAUGAAAUGUACGGUAUCAUGACGAAGUAUGAUAACAUCAGCAUGGAAUCCUUGAGGCAGCAAACACGCAUCGACUUUCUUUCUGAAGAAUUGUCUACGCUUCAGAUGUUCUAUGAAGUAUGCCAGCAUUUACAUUUUGUUUUUCCCUUUAUUUAUUUUCUUUCCUUUUUUCCUUUUUUUUCUUUAAUAGGGUAGAGGGCCGAGUGGGUCUGAUGAUGACACUAAUGGGUCGGGUAGCCCACGAGGUCGUGGGCUUUAUUUUUCCAACACCCGGAUAUGUCUGAUGGAACUCUAAUUGUCUCCAUUUAAAUACCUAGUAUUCUUCUUCUCGGCCAUCAACUUAUCAUUUCUCUGCACAUCCGCCUCCUUCACCUUCAGCGUUCAUCAGAGACCCUGAAACCAUCUUGAAUCCUUCUCAUCAUCAUCGGAUCCGAGUUUCAAUCUUCUUUUCCUUCUGAUCGUCGCUUUUAUUUGUAGAUUAAGAAUAUAUUCUUUUACUUCCUGCUCAUUUGGUUUAUCGCUGUUGUUAUCAUCUACUGGUGGAUGAAAGAUAUCGAAACAAGAGGAGGUUAGAUGAAGAACAACUUCUCCGUCGCUGAGUUAACCAAAAUGAUGUUUCAGCCGGAAUCUCAUUACAGAUCCGCACAAGGUACAUUUUUUCAGCAUUCGAGGUGAAGACAUCUCAAGGUUUAACUUAAUAUUGGUUGGAAGAUGGAGAUCUGAUGAGUUGGGGAUUUUGUAUGUAUCUGCAGAGUAUAUCUAAUGAUAAAUCAGGGUUUCUAAGGUUGAAGCCAGAUUUGGAUUUUGAUGUUCUUUGACUAAAUGGACGGUCAUGCAUAUGAUGAAGAUGUCUGUCCCAUGCGUAUAAGGUACUGAUCUUGCAUCCAGAGUUUGUUGGUGUUGAUCAGUGGGAAAUGGUGAUGAACUCGAGGCUCAGGACAUGUUCAGACUUAACCAUCGUCUUCAUGCAUUAGAUCCUCCCUUCUUCCUUUUGAUUUAUUGCUUGUUGUUGUUUCCACUUUUUCUAUAUAUUUUUGUUUGUUUUUGGAUAUGCCAAGAUCAUACAAUGUAUCCUCAAAAUGGGCGACUUUUCUAAUGUAAUUGUAUGACGAUGAUAUUGUAAACUCCUUCCAUGUGAAUGAAACGUCUCGUUCUUGUGGUG